Molecule: ribosomal RNA, 216 nt
Filed under: Glomeromycotina sp.
Lineage: Eukaryota; Fungi; Glomeromycota
Description: partial small subunit ribosomal RNA
Rfam family: Eukaryotic small subunit ribosomal RNA (bases 75-216)
Source: RNAcentral
GGGUCAGUAGGUUGGUCGUGCCACCGGUACGUACUGGUCUCACUGAUUCCUCCUUCCUGAAGAACCGUAACGCCAUUAAUUUGGUGUUGCGGGGAAACAGGACUGUUACUUUGAAAAAAUUAGAGUGUUUAAAGCAAGCCAACGCUUGAAUACAUUAGCAUGGAAUAAUGAAAUAGGACGAUCGAUCCUAUUUUGUUGGUUUCUAGGAUUGACGUA